UACGUAGGGUGCGAGCGUUGUCCGGAAUUAUUGGGCGUAAAGAGCUUGUAGGUGGUCUGUCGCGUCUGCUGUGAAAAUCCGGGGCUCAACCUCGGACUUGCAGUGGGUACGGGCAGACUAGAGUGUGGUAGGGGAGACUGGAAUUCCUGGUGUAGCGGUGAAAUGCGCAGAUAUCAGGAGGAACACCGAUGGCGAAGGCAGGUCUCUGGGCCACUACUGACGCUGAGAAGCGAAAGCAUGGGGAGCGAACAGG
Molecule: ribosomal RNA, 253 nt
Filed under: uncultured bacterium
Lineage: Bacteria
Description: partial 16S ribosomal RNA
Rfam family: Bacterial small subunit ribosomal RNA
Source: RNAcentral